Molecule: ribosomal RNA, 230 nt
Filed under: uncultured bacterium
Lineage: Bacteria
Description: partial 16S ribosomal RNA
Rfam family: Bacterial small subunit ribosomal RNA
Source: RNAcentral
AUUACCUACGGGGCGCAGCAGUGGGGAAUAUUGCACAAUGGGGGAAACCCUGAUGCAGCGACGCCGCGUGAGUGAAGAAGUAUUUCGGCAUGUAAAGCUCUAUCAGCAGGGAAGAAAAUGACGGUACCUGAGUAAGAAGCCCCGGCUAACUACGUGCCAGCUGCCGCGGUAAUACGUAGGGGGCAAGCGUUAUCCGGAUUUACUGGGUGUAAAGGGAGCGUAGACGGCGA